AACUAAGAAACUGCCGUUUAUACUAGUCUUCUUGAAUAUCGAUGAGGUAGGCGGAAUAUGUCAUGUAGCGGUGAAAUGCUUAGAUAUGACAUAGAACACCGAUUGCGAAGGCAGCUUACUAAACGAUUAUUGACGCUGAGGCACGAAAGCGUGGGGAUCAAACAG
Molecule: ribosomal RNA, 165 nt
Filed under: uncultured bacterium
Lineage: Bacteria
Description: partial 16S ribosomal RNA
Rfam family: Bacterial small subunit ribosomal RNA
Source: RNAcentral